This is a non-coding RNA of Caretta caretta (loggerhead turtle), 3358 nucleotides long. The record is from RefSeq and is a predicted model, not a curated record. NCBI's taxonomy places the organism in Eukaryota, Metazoa, Chordata, Testudines, Cheloniidae.
UGUACUUGUUUAGUGAAACUGGAAGUUCAGCUUGAUGACAUAUUUGAGAUUAUGAUUGAGAUUAUGAUUGAGUAAAUUCAUGUCUGCUUACACCAAAUUACCAUAUAAUGCUUAUCAAGUGUCAGAAGGAAAAAUUAUGUGGAAUGGUCUCCAUAAAAUGCUAAUUCAGAAGUCCCACUAUACAGUCCCACUGUGAGGGGACGGACUUCUUGAUCUUCAUAAAUAGAAUUAGAAAUAAAGGUAUAAAUUUCAAGAAAUAACGUGUACAUUCUAAUAGCAACAGUUUGAUUUUUGGUUACAUUGCUUGUGUACGUUUUUGGUGUAGUAGAGUAACCCUUGACUCUUCCAGCCAUUCAUGAGACAAGAUAUGCUUCUUAAAAUGUUGGUGUUAAAAUUCAAAUUGUGGCUCAUAUAUAGAACAUAUAUAAAGCAGUUUCUAUCCAGUGUUAAUGUUUGGCAUUUGCACCCAUAUUAAUAUUUCAGAUUGGGGGCUUAGAAAUAUUUACACUGUCCCUUUGAUUUUUUUUGCUGUUUAACUUUAUCCCCUAUGAACCAGAUACUUCAAACUUAAUGAGCAGCUUCCAAGUACCAAACCAGCAUGGACUACAGGAAAUUAUAUCUUGUUUGCAAAACAUUAUCAUGUGGGAAAACAUAACUAUGAAGGUCUUGUCCUAAAUACUGUGGCCGAAUAAAUAACUACCAUACCACUUACUGUAGAUAGAAGUGGUGGUAGCAGCUCUGUAGUUCAGGUUGCACUAAGAUUUUUUACUUAAAGUAGCGAUUUGAAUAAUCUUUCAGACUAAAAUGAAAGCACUUAAUACCAAAUUUGGCAAACCUAAAAGAAUUUUCCAAAGUAUUUUUAUGGAUUAAAAAGUUGCUACAUUUAAUUAUUCAAAAAUAGAUUUGUAAUGGUCUCACUAAUCUUUUCCCCUUUCUAAUGUUUGUGUUGGCGACAUUUUAAAACCCACACUUUUGGAACAUACUACUUGUACUAGUUGCCCCAGAUUUGUUUGUCUUCAUUUGUCUUAAGUUCGGUCUAAUAGAGGCUGAUGAAGAACUUUAAUGUUGCUGGCUAUUUCAUUCUCCAGUACUGUCUUGACUGCAUUUGUGCUCUGCACACAGCUUGCUGAACUAGGGAGAUAGGCCUUAGCAGACACUGAAAGGCUGACCUGGUGAACCAUAGGAGUUCAUAAGCUGGGGUCAUUUGCAGUAAGUGUGGCUUCACUUAUUCAGGGCCUCUGUGGGGAAAGCAGUGGCUUUUUAGAUACUUAGGGUGGAUGCAGUGGGCCAUAACCAAGUCAUCCGGCUUUCUCCAGCCCCACCACUCUGUCACGCUUGCUGACUUUAUUCAUGUUAACAUUGUGUAAAAGUAUUCUACGAAAUAUUCCUCCUCAGAUGUCACAUUGCAGGAUUCCCCAAUACAUCCAAAGCGUACAUUGAUAGCUACAGUGCAUCACCUUGUAUUCAGAAAAUACGCAUUUCUCCCUAAUUUAUCUGGCCUACAUUUCAAGCCUCUGUCUGUGACUCAACUCUUUGAACUCAGGAUUUUAGAUGGUCCUUAAACAGUAUAUGAUAAUCAUAGGGGUUUUUUUGUUUUUUUUUAAACCAUGCCUUAGUGAUCUUUUAACUUAGUUUCUUGGUUGCCUUAUUUAACCUUUUACUAAUACAUGAGUAACAGCCCUAUUCAGUGGGAAAUCGGUUCCCAAAACGUUCUAACAAGGAUUCUCUCUUGUCUGCUUUUCUGGUUAGUUGGUUUUGAUAGUUUGAACUUGUGCAAACUUUCACUCAGGAUACUGUUUUAGUGUGGUUCAGUUGUGAUUUUCCUUAAAAGUAAGGGCUUAUAUAACACAGCAAUGAAGACUAUUGUUACGUAGGUCAUUUCAAUUCAUGUGGUGUUGGGAGGGCAGGAUUGAUUCUUCUCACAGUGAGACUCCAUACAUGUUACCUAUCUCCCCCCCAAGUAGAGAGAAUGAGCUUUUUUAAGACAUGCUGAUUUUGGAUCAUACAUUAAAGGACAACUUGUUUUGUCAAAUAGCUUUUUGUUUUCAUCCUACCUUUUAAGGAAUUCACAAAAGGCUGAUCUCAAUAACCUACAACUGCCUGCAGUAAUAUCCAGCCCUUUUUUCUGACGCAAUACAACCGGGGUAACUGUAGGUCUACAGAAGGGCAUUUCUCAAUAUGCCAUCAAUCACUGGAGGCCAAGGUUUCCUGAAGAGCUUCUCCUAUACAAUAUUUAAUAACUUUUUAGUCUCAUGGAAGAAUCUUCUGAUCUGGGAUCUGACUGAUGGAUUAACGAACACUUUGGAAGCAAAUAAAACAUAGGGCUCAUCUAAACAUAAAAGGUGUACUGCUUUAACUAGCAUGGAUUCAGUUAUACUGGUAUAAUUGUAUUUGUACAGUUUAUUCCUGUAGGGGAAGAGGAAUAAGCUAUACUCCUACAAACAUUCUUAUAAAAGCCCACGGAUGAUCAGUUUAACUUUAUUUAAACAAACAAACAAAAUCAUUUUCCUUGCCAAAAAUUACACUGGUAAAACAUAAGUGUAGAGCAGGCCUUAGUGUGAUGGUGCCUAAAUUGCUUCCCCUGUAUAAGCCCUGCAACUGCUUCACCGUUCUGAUCUGCUGCAGUUGCAACAGUUGUCUUCAGCUGCUCUGCUCAACAGGUUAUUGGAUGUAAACCCUUACAUUUUCUCUUCCCAGCUGUCCUAAGAAAUAGUGGUGAUACCUGCACCCUUGGUAGCAAAAGUGUUGAGCCCUAAUGGAAAAAGACUGGUUUGCCACCCUUUGUUAGAGGUUUUCAGAGUCCAGAGUGCCUAUCUAAGGAUUGAAUGACUGGUCUAGUCUCAGAAGAGAGCUGAGUGAGGUUCUGCGGAGAUAUGGAGAAAGCCCAUGAACUCCUGCUCUGCCAGGGAAAGGGGCCUCCCUCUCUGCACCUCUGAAUAGGCUGGCUCCACGCUAAAGCAUAAAGAGCACUUCAGUUAGUCUGUGACAAGAACAAAGGUAGAUGAGGACUCUAUUCUACAUGCAGCUGCACCAUUGUAGGAUUACAAAGAGUUUGUGGCUUGUAACCGAAUAAGGCCUUAAUCAUCCAGUAAAGGAAGGCCACAAGAAUAACAAGUCAAAAGACCAGAAUGCAACGAGGAAAGAAUGUCUGGUUCAAAAAACUAAUAAAACAGGAAGCUGCAAUAACCAAGACAAAGAAGAACCCUUCUCAAAAGCAAGCCCAGUUUUUUUCUCACAUACCAGUGCUAUCUUAAAGUGAGGCCUAUGUGUAACCAAUGGCAACAGAAGCAAAAAAACUACUGGUAAGCAAGGAGAGGGGAGGAGACAAAGAAAAAAGGCUUAGAGAAAAUAAACUGCU